UACGGGGGGGGCAAGCGUUGUUCGGAAUUACUGGGCGUAAAGGGCUCGUAGGCGGCCAACUAAGUCAGACGUGAAAUCCCUCGGCUUAACCGGGGAACUGCGUCUGAUACUGGUUGGCUUGAAUCCGGGAGAGGGAUGUGGAAUUCCAGGUGUAGCGGUGAAAUGCGUAGAUAUCUGGAGGAACACCGGUGGCGAAGGCGGCUACCUGGACAGAAACUGACGCUGAGGCGCGAAAGCUAGGGGAGCAAACAGG
Molecule: ribosomal RNA, 253 nt
Filed under: uncultured bacterium
Lineage: Bacteria
Description: partial 16S ribosomal RNA
Rfam family: Bacterial small subunit ribosomal RNA
Source: RNAcentral